Molecule: long non-coding RNA, 418 nt
Organism: Sardina pilchardus (European sardine)
Lineage: Eukaryota; Metazoa; Chordata; Actinopteri; Clupeiformes; Clupeidae
Exons: 4
Source: RefSeq, a predicted model, not a curated record
AAUCUCAGAAAUCUCUGAAUCGGCGUCAGAUACCCUGCAAGAGACGUGAUCAACAUCAUGAAGUCAGUACUGCUUUUGGCAUUGUUCUUUGCGCUGACCCUUGCUGUCUGUGCCACUGAUGAUCAUGUGCGCGUGGCUCGCGACUCAAACUUCAACGGCAAUGAGCAGAUCACUUUGCCCGAGAUCACCAGAGGCCAGUUCAUGCAGCUCCUGAAGUUCCUGACAGGCCUGCUGAACAAUGCUCCAGCUCCAGCCGUUGGCUAACUCAGGGGUCAGACGACCUCCAGAUCAACUAAGUCCCAGAUGCCAUCAGAAAGACACUUGGUGGUCGCAUUGGUGUUUUGUUUAUUCUGACAAUGCGGGGUAUAAUGACAUGUAUUGACAUAACAAUAAAAAACAAACUUUCACUCACAGUAAA